GAUGAACGCUGGCGGCGUGCCUAAUACAUGCAAGUCGAGCGAACAGAUAAGGAGCUUGCUCCUUUGACGUUAGCGGAGGACGGGUGAGUAACACGAGGGUCACCCACCUAUCAGACUGGGAAAACUUCGGGACACCGGCGAUAAUCCCGGAUAACAUUCGGCACCGUAUGGUUCUAAAGUGAAAGAUGGCUUUGCUAUAACUUAUAGAUGCACCCGCGCCGUUUUAGCUAGUUGGUACGGUAACGGCUUACCAAGGCGACGAUACGUAGCCGACGUGAGAGGGGGAUCGGCCACACGAGAACGGGAACACGGUCCUGGCUCCUACGGGAGGCAGCAGUAGGGAAUCUUCCGCAGUGGGGGAAAGCCUGACGGAACAACGCGGCGCGAGAUGUGGAGGCGUUCGGCGCGGAAAACUCGGUUAUUAGGGAAGAACAGAUUUGGAAGUAACUGAGCACGUCUUGACGGUACCUAGUCAGAAAGCCACGGCUAACUACGUG
Molecule: ribosomal RNA, 497 nt
Filed under: uncultured bacterium
Lineage: Bacteria
Description: partial 16S ribosomal RNA
Rfam family: Bacterial small subunit ribosomal RNA
Source: RNAcentral